RNAcentral lists this unclassified non-coding RNA (326 nucleotides) under soil metagenome. RNAcentral's name for it is "partial contains 5.8S ribosomal RNA, internal transcribed spacer 2, and large subunit ribosomal RNA". The stretch from base 1 to 120 matches the Rfam family "5.8S ribosomal RNA", at positions 35 to 154 of the family's 154-position model. The record is from RNAcentral.
GAUGAAGAACGUAGCGAAAUGCGAUAAGUAGUGUGAAUUGCAGAAUUUAGUGAAUCAUCGAAUCUUUGAACGCACAUUGCGCCCUAUAGUAUUCUGUAGGGCAUGCCUGUUCGAGCGUUAUUGAGACCUCAAGCUCUGCUUGGAAAUGGGCGCUUGUCUUGCCUUGCAGACUCGCCUUAAAACCAUUGGCAGCUGAUUUACAAUGUUUGGUGCACAGUACAUGAGCCCAAGUGUUGCAAUGAGUGGCCCAAAAGUAUACAAUAGAAGCUUAACCUCGGAUCAGGUAGGGAUACCCGCUGAACUUAAGCAUGUCAAUAAGCGGAGGA